Molecule: ribosomal RNA, 253 nt
Filed under: uncultured bacterium
Lineage: Bacteria
Description: partial 16S ribosomal RNA
Rfam family: Bacterial small subunit ribosomal RNA
Source: RNAcentral
UACGUAGGGUGCAAGCGUUGUCCGGAAUUAUUGGGCGUAAAGAGCUCGUAGGCGGUCUGUCGCGUCUGCUGUGAAAACUCGGGGCUUAACCCCGGGCCUGCAGUGGGUACGGGCAGACUAGAGUGCGGUAGGGGAGACUGGAAUUCCUGGUGUAGCGGUGAAAUGCGCAGAUAUCAGGAGGAACACCGGUGGCGAAGGCGGGUCUCUGGGCCGAUACUGACGCUGAGGAGCGAAAUCGUGGGGAGCGAACAGG